This 1328-nucleotide ribosomal RNA is filed under the name metagenome. RNAcentral describes it as "bacterial LSU rRNA". It matches the Rfam family "Bacterial large subunit ribosomal RNA", at positions 1616 to 2925 of the family's 2925-position model. The record is from RNAcentral.
AGCCUCUAGCGAGCUGGUACAUGGCCCGUACCCCAAACCGACACAGGUGGUCAGGUAGAGAAUACUAAGGCGAUCGAGAGAACUGUGGUUAAGGAACUCGGCAAAAUGCCCCCGUAACUUCGGGAGAAGGGGGACCAGUCCUGGUGACGACAUUUACUGUCUGAGCUGGGGUUGGUCGCAGAGACCAGAGAGAAGCGACUGUUUACUAAAAACACAGGUCCGUGCGAAGUCGUAGGACGAUGUAUACGGACUGACGCCUGCCCGGUGCUGGAAGGUUAAGAGGACCGGUCAGCCACUUCGGUGGCGAAGCUGAGAAUUUAAGCCCCAGUAAACGGCGGUGGUAACUAUAACCAUCCUAAGGUAGCGAAAUUCCUUGUCGGGUAAGUUCCGACCUGCACGAAUGGCGUAACGACUUCUCUGCUGUCUCAACCACAGACUCGGCGAAAUUGCAGUACGAGUAAAGAUGCUCGUUACGCGCGGCAGGACGAAAAGACCCCGGGACCUUCACUAUAGCUUGGUAUUGGUGUUCGGUUCGGUUUGUGUUGGAUAGGUGGGAGACUGUGAAACUCGCACGCCAGUGUGGGUGGAGUCAUUGUUGAAGUACCACUCUGACCGUAUUGGACAUCUAACCUCGGACCAUGAUCUGGUUCAGGGACAGUGCCUGGUGGGUAGUUUAACUGGGGCGGUUGCCUCCCAAAAAGUAACGGAGGCGCCCAAAGGUUCCCUCAGCCUGGUUGGCAAUCAGGUGUUGAGUGUAAGUGCACAAGGGAGCUUGACUGUGAGACGUACAUGUCGAGCAGGGACGAAAGUCGGGACUAGUGAUCCGGCACCGGCAAGUGGAAGCGGUGUCGCUCAACGGAUAAAAGGUACCCCGGGGAUAACAGGCUGAUCUUCCCCAAGAGUCCAUAUCGACGGGAUGGUUUGGCACCUCGAUGUCGGCUCGUCGCAUCCUGGGGCUGGAGUAGGUCCCAAGGGUUGGGCUGUUCGCCCAUUAAAGCGGCACGCGAGCUGGGUUUAGAACGUCGUGAGACAGUUCGGUCUCUAUCCGCCGCGCGCGUAAGAAACUUGAGGAAACCUGUCCCUAGUACGAGAGGACCGGGACGGACGAACCUCUGGUGUGCCAGUUGUUCCACCAGGAGCACCGCUGGUUAGCUACGUUCGGAAGGGAUAACCGCUGAAAGCAUCUAAGCGGGAAGCCUGUUCCAAGAUGAGGUUUCUCACCACCUAGCGUGGUUAAGGCCCCCCACAGACCAUGGGGUUGAUAGGCCGGAACUGUAAGCACAGCAAUGUGUUCAGGUGACUGGUACUAAUCGGCCGAGGACUUACAG